RNAcentral lists this ribosomal RNA (468 nucleotides) under uncultured bacterium. Its description in RNAcentral is "partial 16S ribosomal RNA". The stretch from base 63 to 468 matches the Rfam family "Bacterial small subunit ribosomal RNA", at positions 39 to 507 of the family's 1533-position model. The record is from RNAcentral.
GGGGGGGGGGGGGGGGGGGGGGGGGGGGGGGAGGGCGGGGGGGGGGGGCGGGGGGGGGGGGGGUGGGGGGGUGGCGAGCGGGUGAGGGGCGCGGGAGGAGCGUGCCCGUGACGGGGGGAUAAGUUCCGGAAAGUGGGGCUCAUACCGGGGAGGCGCGCCUGCGGCAUGGUGGGGGUUGGAAGGUUUGGGCGGUUUGGGAUGGGCUCGCGGCUUAUCAGCUUGUGGGUGGGGUAGUGGCUUACCAAGGCUUUGACGGGUAGCCGGCCUGAGAGGGUGACCGGCCACAUGGGGACUGAGAUACGGCCCAGACUCCUACGGGAGGCAGCAGUGGGGAAUAUUGCACAAUGGGCGGAAGCCUGAUGCAGCAACGCCGCGGGCGGGAUGACGGCCUUCGGGUUGUAAACCGCUUUCGCCUGUGACGAAGCGUGAGUGACGGUAAUGGGUAAAGAAGCACCGGCUAACUACGUG